Molecule: small RNA, 964 nt
Filed under: Homo sapiens (human)
Lineage: Eukaryota; Metazoa; Chordata; Mammalia; Primates; Hominidae
Description: lymphocyte antigen 6 family member G6C (ENSG00000206398.5)
Source: RNAcentral
GUUGCCACCAUUCUCAGGACCCUCGCCAUGAAAGCCCUUAUGCUGCUCACCCUGUCUGUUCUGCUCUGCUGGGUCUCAGAUGGUUGCAGUGACAUCUAAGAGCCUCCAUGGAAACAGAGCGUUUUCUUGAGCCUUCUGAAGAGGGGACAACUGGGCCACUUACCUCCAGGGUGAAGUGGAUUUCACUGAGCUGACAUUCGCUGUCACUCCUGCUACAAGGUCCCUGUGCUGGGCUGUGUGGACCGGCAGUCCUGCCGCCUGGAGCCAGGACAGCAAUGCCUGACAACACAUGCAUACCUUGGUAAGAUGUGGGUUUUCUCCAAUCUGCGCUGUGGCACACCAGAAGAGCCCUGUCAGGAGGCCUUCAACCAAACCAACCGUAAGCUGGGUCUGACAUAUAACACCACCUGCUGCAACAAGGACAACUGCAACAGCGCAGGACCCCGGCCCACUCCAGCCCUGGGCCUUGUCUUCCUUACCUCCUUGGCUGGCCUUGGCCUCUGGCUGCUGCACUGAGACUCAUUCCAUUGGCUGCCCCUCCUCCCACCUGCCUUGGCCUGAGCCUCUCUCCCUGUGUCUCUGUAUCCCCUGGCUUUACAGAAUCGUCUCUCCCUAGCUCCCAUUUCUUUAAUUAAACACUGUUCCGAGUGGUCUCCUCAUCCAUCCUUCCCACCUCACACCCUUCACUCUCCUUUUUCUGGGUCCCUUCCCACUUCCUUCCAGGACCUCCAUUGGCUCCUAGAAGGGCUCCCCACUUUGCUUCCUAUACUCUGCUGUCCCCUACUUGAGGAGGGAUUGGGAUCUGGGCCUGAAAUGGGGCUUCUGUGUUGUCCCCAGUGAAGGCUCCCACAAGGACCUGAUGACCUCACUGUACAGAGCUGACUCCCCAAAUCCAGGCUCCCAUAUGUACCCCAUCCCCCAUACUCACCUCUUUCCAUUUUGAGUAAUAAAUGUCUGAGUCUGA